CUGGUGCCUUCGGGAAGUCCUAGACACAGGUGCUGCAUGGCUGUCGUCAGCUCGUGUCGUGAGAUGUUGGGUUAAGUCCCGCAACGAGCGCAACCCUUGUCAUUAGUUGCUACGAAAGGGCACUCUAAUGAGACUGCCGGUGACAAACCGGAGGAAGGUGGGGAUGACAUCAAGUCCUCAUGGCCCUUAUGGGUAGGGCUUCACACGUCAUACAAUGGUCGGGACAGAGGGUCGCCAACCCGCGAGGGGGAGCCAAUCCCAGAAACCCGAUCGUAGUCCGGAUUGUAGUCUGCAACUCGACUACAUGAAGUCGGAAUCGCUAGUAAUCGCGGAUCAGCAUGUCGCGGUGAAUACGUUCCCGGGUCUU
This 367-nucleotide ribosomal RNA is filed under the name uncultured Achromobacter sp. RNAcentral describes it as "bacterial SSU rRNA". It matches the Rfam family "Bacterial small subunit ribosomal RNA", at positions 1009 to 1382 of the family's 1533-position model. The record is from RNAcentral. Lineage: Bacteria; Pseudomonadati; Pseudomonadota; Betaproteobacteria; Burkholderiales; Alcaligenaceae.